This 424-nucleotide long non-coding RNA is filed under the name Nicotiana tabacum (common tobacco). RNAcentral describes it as "long non-coding RNA (NTAB_LNC005990)". The record is from RNAcentral. Lineage: Eukaryota; Viridiplantae; Streptophyta; Magnoliopsida; Solanales; Solanaceae.
UCCGGCUUAAUAUCGCGGUGGGCCACCCCCAUUUUGUGACAGUGAUUAAUCGCGGAAAUUAAUUGGACCAGAAUGUUAGCGGCGGCGCGUUCGGAUAACGGCCCAGUGGAAACCCGCUCGUAAAGAUCGUUGUUAGGGCAGAGGUCGGUUACCAUGUGAAGGAAGUUUUCAUCUUCGUAGAUUUUGUAGAGGUGAAGAAUGUUUGGACUACCAGAAAGGAGCUGGAGAAUCUUGGGUUCCUUGUCGAGGCACUCACGGUCGGUGGAAUCGAGGAGGAGGGAUUUUUCGAUGGAUUUACAGGCGAAGGAAUGACCGGUGACCGGUGAGAAGCAGCGGUAGACGGUACCGAAUCUACCACGCCCGAUUUCUUCGCAGAUUUGGAAGUCGCUUUUCAAGGCUUGGCUCAUAUUAUUAUUUAGGCUUU